CAUCGAUUUGCUGUUAGGGUCGGAUUUUAUUAGAAAAUACUCAUUUCGUUGUAAGAUAAUAAAUCUUUAUGCAACAGGAGUAUUUAUAAUUAUUGCUGUUUUAAUGACAGCAUGUUCAGAAUUAAUAUUUCCAAAAAUAGAAUACGAACACUUCCCCUGGGUGACUGUGUCUCCAUACAUAAAUGGUACAAGAUAUAGGGUUCCUGAGGCUUAUAAAACGCCGGACUUUCGACUCCCGGAGCCCCCGUUUAUGGCAUACACAGGUCCGAAGGGAUACUUAAGAAACAGGAAAGCAAAGAAGGUUCUUUUAGUAUUUGUUUUAUAAUCAAUUAUGAAUAAUAAUAUUAUAUUAUAAAAA
Long non-coding RNA from Manduca sexta (tobacco hornworm), 358 nucleotides. RefSeq lists it as uncharacterized. The record is from RefSeq and is a predicted model, not a curated record. The transcript has 2 exons. NCBI's taxonomy places the organism in Eukaryota, Metazoa, Arthropoda, Insecta, Lepidoptera, Sphingidae.